UAAGGUAAACACUGCGCGAUGGCUUUCCACUCUUAGCGUCUACAGACAGACAAAGCUCGGAAGACGCAUCAGAGACAACACGAGGAUCCAGGUUCAUUUCCCAGCACCCACACAAUAGCUCCCAGUCGUCUAUCAGGGAAUUCGACGCUGCUUCUGCUUCCACAGCUACUCUCUGCAGCUGGCAAACGGACUAUAUGCAGGGACCUCCUCAGCAACCCCACAUCAGCCCCAACCAUGGCCGAUCAGACAAGCGCUCCCAGCAUCAAUAGGUUAUUCCAGUGGACCUUGCAGAUUUUCAAUACAGUGAUUCUUUGGUAUCCACAAAGGUUUCCAGAAUCCCUUAAGAUACUAUAACUUCCCGGGCUGGAGAGAUGGCUCAGUGGUUAAG
Mus musculus (house mouse) is the source of this 388-nucleotide long non-coding RNA. RefSeq annotates it as predicted gene, 51902. The transcript is spliced from 3 exons. The record is from RefSeq and is a predicted model, not a curated record. Lineage: Eukaryota; Metazoa; Chordata; Mammalia; Rodentia; Muridae.